UACAGAGGUCUCAAGCGUUGUUCGGAUUCAUUGGGCGUAAAGGGUGCGUAGGCGGCGCCAUAAGUCAGGUGUGAAAUCUCGGGGCUCAACCCCGAAACUGCACUUGAUACUGUGGUGCUGGAGUACUGGAGAGGAGAUUGGAAUUUACGGUGUAGCAGUGAAAUGCGUAGAUAUCGUAAGGAAGACCAGUGGCGAAGGCGAAUCUCUGGACAGUUACUGACACUGAGGCACGAAGGCCAGGGGAGCAAACGGG
Molecule: ribosomal RNA, 253 nt
Filed under: uncultured bacterium
Lineage: Bacteria
Description: partial 16S ribosomal RNA
Rfam family: Bacterial small subunit ribosomal RNA
Source: RNAcentral